Long non-coding RNA from Mya arenaria, 153 nucleotides. RefSeq lists it as uncharacterized. Lineage: Eukaryota; Metazoa; Mollusca; Bivalvia; Myida; Myidae. The record is from RefSeq and is a predicted model, not a curated record. The transcript is spliced from 3 exons.
GCAGGGACGGGGAUAAUCACUGGCACUGGUACUGGUACGGGAACUGGCACUGGUACUGGUACGGGAACUAGCACUGGUACAGGUACGGGAACUGGUACCGGUACAGGAACUGGCACUAUCACAGGAACUGGGUCUGGUAGCUGUAUGGACAAG